GAUGAACGCUGGCGGCGUGCCUAAUACAUGCAAGUCGAGCGAACAGAUGAGGAGCUUGCUCCUCUGACGUUAGCGGCGGACGGGUGAGUAACACGUGGAUAACCUACCUAUAAGACUGGGAUAACUUCGGGAAACCGGAGCUAAUACCGGAUAAUAUAUUGAACCGCAUGGUUCAAUAGUGAAAGACGGUUUUGCUGUCACUUAUAGAUGGAUCCGCGCCGCAUUAGCUAGUUGGUAAGGUAACGGCUUACCAAGGCAACGAUGCGUAGCCGACCUGAGAGGGUGAUCGGCCACACUGGAACUGAGACACGGUCCAGACUCCUACGGGAGGCAGCAGUAGGGAAUCUUCCGCAAUGGGCGAAAGCCUGACCGAGCAACGCCGCGUGAGUGAUGAAGGUCUUCGGAUCGUAAAACUCUGUUAUUAGGGAAGAACAAAUGUGUAAGUAACUAUGCACGUCUUGACGGUACCUAAUCAGAAAGCCACGGCUAACUACGUG
This 497-nucleotide ribosomal RNA is filed under the name uncultured bacterium. RNAcentral describes it as "partial 16S ribosomal RNA". It matches the Rfam family "Bacterial small subunit ribosomal RNA", at positions 28 to 507 of the family's 1533-position model. The record is from RNAcentral.